GGAAGUAAAAGUCGUAACAAAGUUUCCGUAGGUGAACCUGCGGAAGGAUCAUUAAUGUGUUUGGGCCUCACGGCUCUUCAUUCCGACGCUGUGCGCCUUCGGGCUGCACGCUGAGGGAGCAUAUAUCCACCCCUGUGCACACACACGGUGGCGAGCUGGGUAACGGCUCGCCGCUGAUCUUUACACACGCCUAAAAGUCAUUGUAUGUUUAUUUGAGAUAAAAACACAACUUUCAACAGCGGAUCUCUUGGCUCUG
This 256-nucleotide unclassified non-coding RNA is filed under the name plant metagenome. Its description in RNAcentral is "partial contains small subunit ribosomal RNA and internal transcribed spacer 1". The stretch from base 1 to 54 matches the Rfam family "Eukaryotic small subunit ribosomal RNA", at positions 1778 to 1831 of the family's 1831-position model. The record is from RNAcentral.